This 11407-nucleotide long non-coding RNA is filed under the name Olea europaea subsp. europaea. The record is from RNAcentral. Lineage: Eukaryota; Viridiplantae; Streptophyta; Magnoliopsida; Lamiales; Oleaceae.
AUACAAGUUUCCUUUUUUCACUUCCUUCUUCCUAUUAGUGUUGUCCUCUUAAAAGCCUUAGCUAAUCCAAGUUAGUAAACUCAUUUUUCGUCCAACAAAAACCUAUAAAUCUGCUACAAUAUCUCCAAUUCCCGAAUAAGAGAGAUGAAACCUCCUACCAUAGCAAGACCGGCAAUCAAAAUCUUCCCGACUUUAGCAAAUGGCUUUCUAGUUCGAUUCUCUUACUUAUCCCGUGCUUAAUAAGCGCGUGUCAAUAUUUAGUUAUAGCUUCCAAAUUUUAUUAUUUUGUUUUUUCGAAUUUUAUAUAUAUAUAUAUAUAUAUAUAUAUAUAUAUAUAUAUAUAUAUAUAUAUAUAUAUGUGUGUGUGUGUGUGUGUGUGUGUAUAAUUAUUUAUUUUAUUUUAUUAUUAUAAUUAUUUUUGGGUAAUCGGUUGAGUGUAGGAGGUUUUCUUGGAUACGCCUGUUUCCUUUUUUAUUCCAUAGCGAUUUUUAGUUCUUUUUUGCUGAUGUAUCAGAAACAAAAGUUACUCAUUCUUCUGGAACAGCUAGAGGAAGGCUCCUAAUUUCUCAGGUAAAUAGGUUGCAUAAAAGGCUUUUCUGUUUUGAACUCUAAUUUAGCUUCGCUAUUGAAUAAGUCAACUUUACCGUUUAUUCUAUUUUUAUGUAUUGUUGUACGUUUAUUGUAAUUGUAGCCGAUAUAUUUCAUUUUAAUUUGGAAGAAUUGUAAUUAAAUGUUGAAGUUACGAAUUAAGAUUUUAAUGCUUAUAUACCAUGAAUGGUUGUUUGAAAUAUGAAUUUAUUAGUUGCUAAAUUUUGGCUUAUUAUAUUUUUAAUUUGGGGGUGUCAUUUUUAGUUAAAUUUUGAAUUUAUGAAUUGAGUAUUUGUUGUCGUAUGUUUAUUGAUCGAUUAGGCAACAUUAGGAAUUGGUAAUGUGACAGAAAAAAGUUUAGUUCAAUGUAACAUUGGCAAUAAGAGUCCAGUUUUACUCUGCAUAUUACUGCCCAAUAAAAUAGAGUCUUGCUAUUUGGAUUUGGAGUUCGAGGAGACUGAUGAUGUGGUUUUUUGGUGAUUCGUCCAUGAAGUGUUUACCUCCCUAGUUUUUAUGUCAAUCACAGUAAGCAUUUCGAUCCACAUCGCAAUACUUAUCCUUUUUUCCUUAAUCUGUUCAUUUUCAGUGUAGUUUCGUUUUGUUGAGGUGUAAUGUUCUGUCAAUUAGCAUUUCGGUGAUUGAAUCAUUAUGCUUUUCUAUUUUUCGGUAGGCCAAGGAGGGAAGCAAUGAGAGAUUAGAGAAAAGUUAUAUUUGCUCUCCAAACUCUAUAAAUCAUGCCCUUCACAUUAAUUUUGCUUGUAGCAUGAUGUUUCCUUAACACUCCUUUUAUGUCUUGUAAGUUCUUUUAUUUUUUUAACAUCUUAAACCUUCCUCCUCCCAAAGAUUGAAAACAGGGCAAGUUUUUCUAUUUUUCAUGUGUCCAAUGAAUUAGAACACCGAUUGUACAACAAUCUCUGUGAGAUCAUCUUUGGUUUUUAUCUUGAUUCUUUAUUACCUUCACAUCAUGUAUAAUAGAUAUUCGUUUUUAUGGCAUUGUAGUUUAAACCAGAAAAAAUAGAAGCCAUUAUAGAAGAUUUUAAUGAAACAGGAAAACUUACUCCUACAGAGCUAUAUCUUAGUGGAACAAAAUAUAUAGUGAUUCGAGGGGAGCCAGUAGCUGUUAUAAGAGGAAAAAAGGGUAACGAUCUAAUGUAAAAUGUGGUUUUUAUUAUCUAUUGAUAAAUGAUUGGGAAACUUGAUUGGUUUUCAAUUUUUCUUAAAUUUGUUGCUUGCAACAGUUUUUGCAGUCAUUUUGUUUCCAUUCAAGUUCAAUUCCUGCAACUUUUGUUUUCGAUGAUGUUUUUCAUGGCUGUAACAUACAACAAUUUUACUUAAUAAUCUACCAUAAAAAAAUUACAAAAAGGGGAUUCCAAUGGACUCUAUUUUUUAGAAGUCCUGAGAGACAUUAUCAGGUAUUUCAUUUUUCCGCCUUUUGACUUCAAUGCUGAAUAGCCUUUGAAUAUAAUAUGCCUUUUGUACGUUUUCUCUGUGCUUUAACCCUAAUCUCACUCUUUCUCUCUGGAUCGUAACAUAAAAUCCCAAAUAAUCUGACCCCCAUUCACUAGAAAUCAAUUCCUAAUUUGUGUCUUUUUGCAAAACUCUUCACUUCUGAUUCCACAAAUGGAUUAAAAUUUUAUGAUUUUUUUAUUGUUAUUUUUUAUCGAAAUUUUUACUUCUUUCUUGAUAAUUUGAUUUUAUUUUUGUUGCUUCUCUUUUAUGUGAAUAUUCGUGAGGCUUAUAUGAUAGUAAAUUUUCUAAUGAUGAAAUUUUGAUUUGUUUGUGAUUUACAUUGAAUCUCUCUUACUCUUACAAUUUAGUGAUGGCCGAGUAAAUACUUUCCCAUUUGUUCAUCAUUGUUUUCAUGGUACCUUUUCAUCAUGCAUUGUUAAGUGAACAAUAACCAUUUGCCUGCACACAGUAUUCAUAUAUUUUUCAAUUGAUACACCUCUUGAAUGGUGAUAUAGGGAUCUCCUAUGCUAACCACCGCGCUAAAGUAUUUGACACUAAGAUCACUUGGGGCUUGAGCUGUUCUUCUUUAUUUGGCCAUGCAAAGAGUCUGCAACGACCCUAAAACUCCACUCUUUGCCACUGGUAAAUGACUACUCUACACUUUUUUUUUUCCUUCUUUUUCAUUUGUUUAUACAUUCAUGCUUUAUUCUUUCCAUUCAGAAUAAGAAUUUUUUUCCAUAUUAAGCAAUAAUUACAACCCUUUGAAUCUUUUUUUAGCAAACAAUUUGAAUCCCUUGAUUGUAUUCUUGUCAUUUUUAUAAGGAAUUUCUGAAGAAACCUUAAUACUAUAAUCUUCCAAUUAAUAAGGCUAAAAUCUCGCCCAGACAAUUGAAAAAUGGAGGACCCCUAUUGCUAAUUUCCCUCUUACAGAUACAUAGUAAAGCAACUUUUAAGUUCUUGUUUACACAUAUAUAUAGAACAAAAUUUAAAUUUCACAUUUCCUUUAUCAUUACGUUUUGUAUCCAUACUCUAUCCAUUAGACUCUUGAAAGGUUUAGUACGAUAGGACUAAAGAAUAAAAACUGGUUUUGUAGGUAUUUGACCUCUAUGAUUCUCUUAUGCCAUUGCCAACGUGUAGUACUAUUUAUCAUUUCACAGAUUCCUCUGAUACUAUAUUGUUGUUUGUUUACGAAACCGUUAAUGUAAAAUUUUCCUUAAGUGGAAACUGGUUUUGUAGGUUCUUGAUCUCAGCGAUUCUCUCAUGCAAAUUGAUGGAACAAGUUAAUAUAUUUCCUCAAAGUCUUUGGGAUUUGCAGCCCAGUAGACUCCUCAAGAAUGGUUAGUCCGUUAAUAAUGUUUUUCAUUGCUUCAAUCGAAUAUAUUCAUUGACCUUUUGUUACGUGAGUGGACACACAAGUUUUCUGUUACGAGAAAGAGUUAUAGCUGUGACCCUCUGUGUGCCUUUGGCUGAAAUGCUAGGUCCAACACCUAUGGCUGCCUUUCAGAUAUGCUUACAGGUCUGGACGACAUUGUCACUUAUUGUUGAUGGUUUGGCUAUUGCAGUUCAAGUAUCAAAUAUUGAAUAGAUUGUUGAAUCUUUUUUCUCCAAAUUGAAUCAUUUGUAGAAGCAAAUCUUAAAGUAAUCAAACAAAUUUGGGGUAGACUAUAAAUCAGUUUAAUAAAUUUGUAAGAUCAAGAAAAUCUACUUCGUGUCAGUCGUUACUCUGUCGAAAAUUGAACCAAAAUGCUUUAAUGAAAGUGAUGUGCUUACACUUCCUCUUCUCACUGUAAAUUUUAAAAACAAUAUCUUAGUCUUUAAGCUCCAGAUUCAUAGUAGUGGAUGAAAACCUACCAUAUGUUGAAGCAAGUCAAAAAGAUAUUGGGAUGUGUGUCAAUAGUUUUAAGCUCGCUUUACCAUCCUCCUUGGAACCGACUUUGAGACGGAUGCAGAGUGGGAAAUCUGAUUCUACAAACUUAGAUAUUUUGUUGAAGACUCAGACUUCAUCACAAGUUGAUGAAGUGUAUAAGGGUUUAGAGUUUAUGAUGAAAUGUGACCUUCGCAAGACAUAAAAGUAUGGUUUUUAAUUUCAUGAUAACUUUGGGUUUGUUCGUUUUUGAUGAAUUUUUAGUCUAAUUCGAUUGGAAUCGAGCCAAUGAAUAAAACACAGUGCCUUCACCCUAACGCAAGACCAAUUUUAGGCAAAAUCCAUCGUUUAGGCGUUUUUGCUAUUUAUGGUAAUUUUUGUUUUUGUAAUAUCUUUUUCCAUGAAAUUCGGAUUUAUAUUCCGUUUGUUGGAGGAUGAUCCUGAAGAUAAGGAUUUUCCAUCUUAGUAGUUAUCUCAUAUUUUUCUAUUUUUAGAAAAAUAUCUUUUUAUUUUAUUUUCCGAAUUUUGCUAGGUUUUUUUUUCUAUUAAAGGCGUUGUAAACCCUUUGAGGCAACAAUUCUUGAAUUCAAUAAAAUUUUCCUUGAGAGUUUUCUCAUUCUGUGAUUGUUCAUUUUUCCUAUAAUCUUCCGCUACGUCAGUUGGUAUCAGAGCCGAAAUCGUUCCUUCUGCAUGCCGCCAAGGAGAUGUUCUGAAGCCCGUGAUACCCCAGUAGAGGAGAUAUAUAGACGUGAUGAAAUCGCACAGCUACGUUAACAAGUGGAAUUGCUGACACAGCAGAUCGCUGCGCUUAUGCCACAGCAGCCUGCGCCUGCAGGCCAACAAUUUGAGGAUUCUGAUGAUGAGAAUCCGUUUGCACAGCUUGAACAACCAUUGGAUCCGCCAGUUCGCCAGAGAAGGGGUAGUCAGGAGGACAACCGACGUUGGGAAUCAGGAUUUAAGGUUGAUAUUCCAGAAUUUCAUGGUGGGUUAAGUCCAGAAGAAUUCUUGGAUUGGGUGACUGCAGUGGAGGAGAUCUUGGAGUUUAAAGAGGUUCUUGUUGAUAAAUGUGUGCCUCUCGUUGCGACGAGGCUUCGUGGGCGAGCAGCGGCGUGGUGGCAGUAGACUAAAGUGACUAGAUCCAGGCUAGGGAAUUUCAAGCUUGCAUCGUGGGACAAAUUGAAGAAGCAUAUGAAGAAACAGUUUCUGCCUGACAAUUAUUUGCGGAUCAUGUACCAACAAUUGCAGAAUCUGCGUCAAGGUGGGAAAAUAGUUAGUGAUUAUACCACGAAUUUUUAUAUGUUGGUUACGAGGAACGAGAUGAUGGAGACGGAGGAGCAGUUGGUGUCACGGUACGUGGGUUGUCUUCGUUCCCAAAUACAAGAUACUCUCAAUAUGUUUGGUCCUGCGAUAGUUUCUGAAGCACAUCAGAGGGCAAUACAGAUAGAGAAGCAACAAUCCAGAAGAACUACUAGUCCUUUCAUUGCAGGGAGUUCUUCCAAUAACCCACAACAACAGGUGACACAUCCUGGUAAUCUUGCUCAAUCUGGUCCUCUUAGAACAAAUCCUGUUCAACAACCAACACGUCCUAGGGUUGGUAUUCGUUGUUUUGGAUGCGGAGUUACAGUCCAUAGGCAGUCUGAGUGCCCUAAAAAUCCACGCAGGGGACUCUUUGUUGAUGAGGGGAAUGGCGAUUAUGAAGGUCCACCUGUAUUUGACGGUGAAGGCGUAGAAGAAGCAACAGAAGAGGAAAAGGUUGUGGUUGGUGAUGUGGGUCAGGCACCGAUGGUGAGGAGGAGUUUCUUGACUCCCUUGGAGAAUAACACUGAUUGGUUGCGUAACAAUAUCUUUCAAUCGACAUGUACUGUUGGAGGGAAGGUAUGUAAAUUUGUUAUUGAUUCUGGUAGUUGCGAGAAUGUGGUGGCUGAGGAGGUUGUUAAGAAGUUGGGUUUGCAGACUGAGAAACAUCCCAAACCGUACAAAUUAUCCUGGCUGAAGAGAGGCAACGAUGUAGAAGUGUCUCACCGUGCUCGAAUCAGCUUCUCAAUUGGACCUACCUACAAGGAUCAGGUUAUAGUACAGAUGGAUGCAUGUCAUUUAUUGUUUGGGAGGCCGUGGUAGUUUGACAGGCACUCACUGCAUGAUGGACAUACCAACACGUACAGUUUUCUGUUUGGGAGAAAGAAAAUUCUGUUACUACCGAAUAAGGGUUUAGUGCAAACAGUUGGGAACAACGCCAAUUUACUGACCAAAAAGAAGUUCGAGACCGAGAUGGAGGAGUCUGGGGUAGUGUAUGUGCUGGUGGGAAAAUUGAUACAGUGAGCAUGAAAUCCCUCUUGCAGUUCAGCAUUGCUAAAGAAGUUUCAUGAAGUUUUCCCAAAAGAUCUUCUAGAUGGAUUAUCACUACUACGGGAUAUUCAGCAUCAGAUUGACUUGGUGCCUGGUGCUGCCCUACCUAACCGAGCGCAUUACAGAAUGAGCCCCACUGAGCAUGAGGAGUUGCGCAGGCAAGUUGAGGAGCUUCUGGCAAAAGGACACAUCAGGGAAAGUCUUAGUCCUUGUGUUGUUCCUGCUCUUCUCACGCCGAAGAAGGAUGUCAUGUGGCGCAUGUGCGUGGAUAGUAGGGCGAUCAAUAAGAUUAUGGUGCGUUACCAUUUUCCUAUUCCUCGCCUGGAUGAUUUGUUGGACCAGCUUACCAGUGCUUGUGUGUUUAGCAAGCUUGAUUUGAAGAGUGGGUACCAUCAGAUUCGGAUCAGACAUGGGGAUGAGUGGAAGAUCGCAUUUAAGACGAGGGAAGGAUUGUACGAGUGGUUAGUCAUGCCCUUCGGCCUCUCAAAUGCACCCAGUACGUUCAUGCUGGUUAUGAAUCAGGCUCUUCGCUCAUUCGUCGGUAAAUUUGUUGUGGUCUACUUUGAUGAUAUUUUAAUUUAUAGUGCUAACGAUGAUGAUCAUGUCCAGCACGUUGGGGAAGUUCUUUCAGUUCUUCGCAUGGAUAAAUUCUAUGCUGCAGUGAAGAAGUGUUCAUUUCUUAUUGAUAGUGUGGUGUUCCUGGGUUAUGUGGUGUCGAAGGCGGGGUUAGCAGUUGAUACAUCUAAAGUAGAGGCGAUCAGUGGCCACAACCCAAGACUGUCACUGAGGUGCGGAGUUUUCAUGGCCUUGCUUCCUUCUAUCGCAAGUUCAUACCACAUUUUAGCAGCAUCAUGGCACCAAUUACAGAUUGCAUGAAGGAUGGUAGGUUCCAGUGGACUCACGAGGCAGAGUCGUCUUUCCAAUUGAUUAAGCAGAAGUUGACUACUGCUCCAAUUUUGGUGUUGCUUGACUUUACCCAACCAUUUGAGCUACAUUGUGAUGCUUCGAAAGUGGGUAUUGGCGGUGUGCUGAGUUAGAACAACCGCCCUGUUGCAUAUUUCAGUGAGAAGCUUUCUAGCUCGAAGUCUCGGUAUGAUACUUAUGAUGUGGAGUUCUAUGCAAUAGUCUAGGCCGUUCGACAUUGGCGUCACUAUUUGUUCCAUAAGGAGUUCAUUUUGUAUAUGGAUCAUGUCGCCCUUAAACACUUUGGUACUCAAGAUAAGGUAUCUGCUCGACAUGCCUCUUGGAUUGCUUACUUACAGCAUUUUACUUUUGUGAUCAAGCACAAGGCAAGUGCUCUUAACAAAAUUGCAGAUGCAUGGAGUAGGCGCCAAACUCUCCUUACAGAAAUGCAUGUGGAGGUUCCAGAAGUUGCGAAGGGUGUGCAGUCGGAGUUUGCAUGGGUUGAUGGUUUUCUUUUUCAUGGCAAUCAGUUGUAUAUUCUAGAGGGCAGUUUGAAGUUGAAGAUCAUUUAAGAAUUAUAUAAUGAGAGCCAUGUGGGUCCUGACUGAACAUUGGAGCUUGUUGCUGCUUCUUACUUUUGUCCAUCAUUGCGCAAAGAUGUCGGCAAGUUUGUGGAGCGUUGUCGGGUUUGCCACUUGCCCAAGGGUAAGGCGACAAAUGUGGGCCUGUAUAUGCCCUUGCCUAUUCCAACCCAGCCUUGGACAGACGUGAGCAUGGGUUUCGUUGUGGGACUCCCCAGGACUAAACGUGGGUUUGAUUCGAUCUUCGUAGUGGUUGAUCGAUUUUCAAAGAUGGUACAUUUCAUCCCCUGCAAGAAGACUACAGAUGCUAUCAACGUGGCAUUACUGUAUUUUCGUGAGGUUUAUCGCCUGCAUAGACUACCUACAUCUAUUAUGUCUGAUCGGGAUACUCGUUUCCUCAGCCACUUCUAGCGCAGCUUAUGGCGCUCGGUGAAUACAUGGUUGGACUUCAACAGUGCAUAUCACCUUCAGACAGAUGGUCAAAUAGAAGUUGUUAACCGUUCCUUGGGUGAUUUAUUACGUUGCCUGGUUGGUGAUCACAUCAAGUCUUGGGAUCAAAAGUUGUGUCAAGCAGAAUUUGCUCACAAUCAUGCUGUUAAUCGAAGUACAGGUUUUAGUCCGUUCCAGGUAGUGUAUGGCCUUGUUCCUCGUGGCCCUCUUGAUCUGGUUCCAGUUUCUACUUCUGUUAAAAUGCAUGGUAAGGCUGAAGACUUUAUUAAGCAAUUGCAGCAGGUUCACUCACAGGCUCAUGAUCAGUUGCAGGCUGCUGUCACUGAGUAUAAGUGUGCUGUGGAUCUUAAAUGCCGACAUGUUGAAUUUGAGGUAGGUGACUUUGUUUGGGUGAUGUUAACAAAGGAUCGUGUUCCUGCUCAUGAAUAUAACAAGCUUACUGCGAAGAAGAUUGGUCUAUUGGAGGUCAUUGAGAAGAUGCUUAUCGUUUGAAGUUGCCUAGCCAUAUUCGUACAUCUGACGUAUUCAAUAUCAAGCAUUUGGUACCAUUUCGUGGUGAUAAUUCUGAUGAGGAUGAAGCUUUUUCCCGUCAAAUUUGAGGGCGAAUUUUUCCCACCUUGGGGAGAAUGAUGAAGUGCAUAACAGAUUAGAGUUUAUGAUGAAAUGGGAUCGUCGCAAAGCAUAAAAGUGUGGUUUUUGAUUUCAUGAUAACUUCGGGUUUGUUCUUUUUGGCGAAUUGCUAGUCUAAUUUGAUUGGAAUCGAGCCAAUGAAUAAAACUCAACAUCUUUGGUCCUGACGCAAGGCUAAAUUUGGGCAAAAUCCAUCGUUUAGGCCCUCGUUCAGGCUUUUUGCUAUUUAUGAUAAUUUUUAUUUUUGGAAUAUAUUUUUCCAUAAAAUUCGAAUUUAUAUUCCAUUUGUUGGAGGAUGAUCCUGAAGAAAGGAUUUUCUAUCUUAGUAGUUAUCUCAUAUUUUUCUAUUUUUGAAAAAAUAUCUUUUUAUUUUAUUUUCUGAAUUUUGCUAAGUUUUUUUUUUUCUAUUAAAGGCAUUGUAAGCCCUUUGAGAUAAUAGUUCUUGAAUUCAAUAAAAUUUUCCUUGAGAGUUUUCUCAUUUUGUAAUUGUUCAUCUUCCCUAUAAUCUUCUGCUACGUCACAAGUCUUUCAAAUUGAAGUUAAGUUUCAUUAGUUUGUCCAUUCAUCAACGAAAAUCAAUUCAAGUAGCAAUAGCGUCCUUUUAGGUAUCAAGGCCGGCCCUGGCCCAAGGCAAACUAGGCAAAGGCCUAGGGCCUCAAAUUUUUGGGGGCCUCAUAAGUUAGGCCUAGUCCCCAAUAAGUUCAAAACCCACCCAAGGCUUGAGAAAGAAAAAAUAAGUAUAGGUUUAGCUAGUAGAGAGAGGAAGAAACGAGAUGAUUUAUUGAGCUAAUUUCUCCAAUUCCUUCCGUCAACGCCACUGGAGCAUCCCAAGAAGGAAACGACGAUCGAAGUCUGAAGCAUCCAAAAUCUGAAAUGGGUUGGUGGCCCUGUUGCUCUUUCAGCUAAAUCUAAAUUGGAAUGACUCUUUCGAAUAAGAAAUUGCAAGUGUUAUUUCUCCAAAUUUAUAAUGAACUUACCCGGCCUGUAGUAUGAAAGACAUUAUUGAAGAAGGCAAUUUGUUUGCUGCAACUAAUGGAAUAAAGUUUUCUUUCUUCUGAUUUUGUUAGGUAAGUUGUGAAAAUCCUUGUUUGCUCAUUGCUACUGAAUUGAGGAAAAAAGAGUAAGAUUGGUUCUAAAAAUAGGCAACAACUAUUGAAUCUUAUGAACUGAGCAGAAGGCAGUUUAUGUAGGUGGGUGGGGUCUAAUUGAUUGCAUAAUUUACUAAUGUUUUCUGUGCAGAAUUUGGAUCAAUUUUAAUUAAUGAUUAUCAGUUCGCUUGUACUAGUUGGAUGCUAACUAUCAUUUGUACCCUUAUUUUCAAAUGUUGAAGAUGAUUUUAAAGAUUUCCCCCCUUUUCCUCUCUUUUUUGAAGAGAUUCUUUUUUUUUUUCCUUUUUAAUUUAAUGGAUUUAUGGUAUUUCAUUACUGGUCUAUAUUCUAGAAUAAGAUCUUUUUUCAGUUUCUGCUUUAAAAUAUUCUCCAUUCUCACUAGUCGAAGUUGUAUAUGAUGAGCUCGUAUAAAAUUUGAAAUAACAUCGCUAAAAUUUCUGGAGACUCACGAGUGAUAAAUUGAAGUUGCUAAAACUUAUUAAAACAAUAGUAAAUAGAUAUUUCUUCCAACCUUGGUAAAGUGAUCAAAGUUCUCAAAACCAACCCUAGUAUAGAGGGCAAUGACGUUGCAGUAGAAAAUAUAAGUAUUGCUACGCCUAUAAAAAGAUUAUGUUUAAGGGCCUCAAAAUAAUUAGUCGUUUAGGGUCUCAAAAUUAUUAGGACCGGCCCUGUUUGGUAUAGUUGGUUGAUUCUGUCCACCUUUAUCUGUUUGCCACUUUUCGAGGCUAUCCUUCCUUGAGCAUUUGCUGAGGACCAUCAUAAAGCAGCUACUACUGCAGUCGAGUAUUUUGGACAGUUAUCUAUGGUUACCUUAGCGUGAAUUCUUGAUACAAAGUACAUGGUUGAAUUCAUUCAGUUUUUGUUUUUUGGAAAUUUGUUAUGCAAAUUGAUUUCGAUCAAUUUUUGAAUUAAUGUUUCUUGAAAUUGAGCCCCAAAUAUGGAUUUGGUCAACCAUAGAAUGAGGGUUUUUAUGACGAUUUUGCAUAUUUACAGCCAGAAUCUUAUCAUUCUAUCAGAAAUAUUGGCUAAAUUUGAACCGAACAUACAUUUUUUCAGAUGAUAUGCUUAAAGCAUGGAAGGAAAGCCCAUCUUCUAGAAGGGUCCACGGUUAGUGUAUUUGUGCAAUUUGUAAUCCAUCAAGAUCUUUUAAUGUUGUCACGGGACAUGCUAAUUCCUCGCUACCAGUACACUAGAAUAAUUGAGGAAAUUACAUGAGUUACUUGUUUGAAAUUAAAUAUUCAAAAAUUACACUACACAUUUUAUUAUUUCUAUACAUACUGCACUAUGAAAGUAUAUUUAGAAAACAAGAAAUCACUUAACUCUUCAAAUCCCACUCAAUUAACUUGGGGUCUCAUGCUAUCAUCAAUUACAUCCCACAGAAUUAGCUACAACCCCAAUCAUCCACAAAUUGCUCCCUUGUAUCAAAUCAUUCCAGUUUUGUUCUAAAACUUAAUACAAUUCUCUUCUUUGUUCACUCUAGAGUCUAG